AGUGAACGCUGGCGGCAGGCCUAACACAUGCAAGUCGAACGGCAGCACAGGAGAGCUUGCCCUCUGGGUGGCGAGUGGCGGAGGGGCGAGGAAUACAUCGGAAUCAGCCCAGCGGAGGGGGUGAACGUAGGGAAACUUACGCUAAUACCGCAUACGUCCUGCGGGUGAAAGAGCGGGAGUGCAAGACCUUUCGCGAUUGGAUGAGCCGAUGUCGGAGUAGCUAGUUGGCGGGGGAAUGGGCCACCCAGGCGGCGAGCCGAAGCUGGUCCGAGGGGGUGACCCGCCACACUGUAUCUGAGACACGGCCCACACUCCUAGGGGGGGCCGCAGUGGGGACUCUUGCGCGAUGGACGAGUGCCUGAUCCAGCAAUACCGCGUGAGUGCUGAACGCCUUCUGCUUGUAGAGCCCUGUUGUUCGGAAAGAAGUAAUGCAGUCUUAUCCCCUGGGAUGAUGACGGUACCGAAAGAAUAAGCUCCGGCUAACUUCGUG
Molecule: ribosomal RNA, 490 nt
Filed under: uncultured bacterium
Lineage: Bacteria
Description: partial 16S ribosomal RNA
Rfam family: Bacterial small subunit ribosomal RNA
Source: RNAcentral